GAUGAACGCUGGCGGCGUGCUUAACACAUGCAAGUCGAACGGUGAAGGCGGAGCUUGCUCUGCUGGAUCAGUGGCGAACGGGUGAGUAACACGUGAGCAAUCUGCCCCUGACUCUGGGAUAAGCGCUGGAAACGGCGUCUAAUACUGGAUACGAGCUGCGAAGGCAUCUUCAGCAGCUGGAAAGAAUUUCGGUCAGGGAUGAGCUCGCGGCCUAUCAGCUUGUUGGUGAGGUAAUGGCUCACCAAGGCGUCGAAGGGUAGCCGGCCUGAGAGGGUGACCGGCCAAACUGGGACUGAGACACGGCCCAGACUCCUACGGGAGGCAGCAGUGGGGAAUAUUGCACAAUGGGCGAAAGCCUGAUGCAGCAACGCCGCGUGAGGGACGACGGCCUUCGGGUUGUAAACCUCUUUUAGCAGGGAAGAAGCGAAAGUGACGGUACCUGCAGAAAAAGCGCCGGCUAACUACGUG
RNAcentral lists this ribosomal RNA (468 nucleotides) under uncultured bacterium. Its description in RNAcentral is "partial 16S ribosomal RNA". It matches the Rfam family "Bacterial small subunit ribosomal RNA", at positions 28 to 507 of the family's 1533-position model. The record is from RNAcentral.